CGAUUAGGUCGGGAACUCAAAGGAGACUGCCAGUGAUAAACUGGAGGAAGGUGGGGAUGACGUCAAGUCAUCAUGGCCCUUACGACCAGGGCUACACACGUGCUACAAUGGCGCAUACAAAGAGAAGCGACCUCGCGAGAGCAAGCGGACCUCAUAAAGUGCGUCGUAGUCCGGAUUGGAGUCUGCAACUCGACUCCAUGAAGUCGGAAUCGCUAGUAAUCGUGGAUCAGAAUGCCACGGUGAAUACGUUCCCGGGCCUUGUACACACCGCCCGUCACACCAUGGGAGUGGGUUGCAAAAGAAGUAGGUAGCUUAACCUUCGGGAGGGCGCUUACCACUUUGUGAUUCAUGACUGGGGUGAAGUCGUAACAAGGUAACCGUAGGGGAACCUGCGGUUGGA
Molecule: ribosomal RNA, 400 nt
Filed under: Salmonella enterica
Lineage: Bacteria; Pseudomonadati; Pseudomonadota; Gammaproteobacteria; Enterobacterales; Enterobacteriaceae
Also listed under: 2 other names
Description: bacterial SSU rRNA
Rfam family: Bacterial small subunit ribosomal RNA
Source: RNAcentral